GCAUACAACCGGCGCACGGGUGAGUAACGCGUACACAACAUGCCAUAUACUGGAGUAUAGCUUUGGGAAACUGAAGGUAAUCCUCCAUAAUAUUUCGGAUAGGCAUCUAUUUGAAAUUAAAGUUUCGACGGUAUAUGAUUGGUGUGCGUUUGAUUAGCUAGUUGGUAGGGUAACGGCCUACCAAGGCUACGAUCAAUAGCUGGCGUGAGAGCGCGACCAGCCACACUGGAACUGAGACACGGUCCAGACUCCUACGGGAGGCAGCAGUAGGGAAUAUUGGACAAUGGGCGAAAGCCUGAUCCAGCCAUGCCGCGUGAUAGAUGAAGGCCCUCUGGGUUGUAAAUAUCUUUUAUCUGGGAAGAAACUCUCCUAUUCUUAGGAGCCUGACGGUACCAGAGGAAUAAGCACCGGCUAACUCCGUGCCAGCAGCCGCGGUAAUACGGAGGGUGCAAGCGUUAUCCGGAUUCACUGGGUUUAAAGGGUGCGUAGGCGGGUAUAUAAGUCAGUGGUGAAAGCUCCGAGCUUAACUUGGAAACUGCCAUUGAUACUGUAUAUCUUGAAUGUCGUAGAGGUUAGCGGAAUGUUGCAUGUAGCGGUGAAAUGCUUAGAUAUGUUACAGAACACCAAUUGCGAAGGCAGCUAACUAUGCGAUAAUUGACGCUGAGGCACGAAAGCGUGGGGAGCAAACAGGAUUAGAUACCCUGGUAGUCCACGCCCUAAACGAUGAUUACUCGAUGUUGGCGAUACACUGUCAGCGUCUUAGCGAAAGCGUUUAAGUAAUCCACCUGGGGGAGUACGCUCGCAAGAGUGAAAACUCAAAAGAAAUUGACGGGGGUCCGCACAAGCGGGU
Molecule: ribosomal RNA, 850 nt
Filed under: uncultured bacterium
Lineage: Bacteria
Description: bacterial SSU rRNA
Rfam family: Bacterial small subunit ribosomal RNA
Source: RNAcentral